GAGUAAGGUAAAGUGAGGUAGAGUGUGAGAAUAAGGUAGAGUGAGGAAGAGUGAGAGAGUAAGGUAAAGUGAGGUAGAGUGUGAGAGUAAGGUAGACUGAGAGAGUAAGGCAGAGUGAGAAAGAGUGAGAGAGUAAGGUAGAGUGAGAGAGUAAGGUAGAGUGAGGUAGAGUGAGAGAGUAAGGUAGAGUGAGGAAGAGUGAGAGAGUAAGGUAAAGUGAGGUAGAGUGUGAGAGUAAGGUAGACUGAGAGAGUAAGGCAGAGUGAGAAAGAGUGAGAGAGUAAGGUAGAGUGAGAGAGUAAGGUAGAGUGAGGUAGAGUGAGAGAGUAAGGUAGAGUGAGGAAGAGUGAGAGAGUAAGGUAAAGUGAGGUAGAGUGUGAGAGUAAGGUAGAGUGAGGAAGAGUGAGAGAGUAAGGUAAAGUGAGGUAGAGUGUGAGAGUAAGGCAGAGUUAAAAAGAGUGAGAGAGUAAGAUAGAGUGAGAGAGUAAGGUAGAGUGAGAGAGUAAGGCAGAGUGAGAAAGAGUGAGAGAGUAAGAUAGAGUGAGAGAGUAAGGUAGAGUGAGAGAGUAAGGUAGAGUGAGAGAGUAAGGUAGAGUGAGAGAGUGAGGUAGAGUGAG
Astyanax mexicanus (Mexican tetra) is the source of this 617-nucleotide long non-coding RNA. RefSeq lists it as uncharacterized. NCBI's taxonomy places the organism in Eukaryota, Metazoa, Chordata, Actinopteri, Characiformes, Acestrorhamphidae. The record is from RefSeq and is a predicted model, not a curated record. The transcript is spliced from 4 exons.